GACGAACGCUGGCGGCGUGCUUAACACAUGCAAGUCGAACGGAAAGGCCCUGCUUUUGUGGGGUGCUCGAGUGGCGAACGGGUGAGUAACACGUGAGUAACCUGCCCUUGACUUUGGGAUAACUUCAGGAAACUGGGGCUAAUACCGGAUAGGAGCUCCUGCUGCAUGGUGGGGGUUGGAAAGUUUCGGCGGUUGGGGAUGGACUCGCGGCUUAUCAGCUUGUUGGUGGGGUAGUGGCUUACCAAGGCUUUGACGGGUAGCCGGCCUGAGAGGGUGACCGGCCAAAUUGGGACUGAGAUACGGCCCAGACUCCUACGGGAGGCAGCAGUGGGGAAUAUUGCACAAUGGGCGGAAGCCUGAUGCAGCAACGCCGCGUGCGGGAUGACGGCCUUCGGGUUGUAAACCGCUUUCGCAUGUGACGAAGCGUGAGUGACGGUAAUGGGUAAAGAAGCACCGGCUAACUACGU
RNAcentral lists this ribosomal RNA (467 nucleotides) under uncultured bacterium. RNAcentral describes it as "partial 16S ribosomal RNA". It matches the Rfam family "Bacterial small subunit ribosomal RNA", at positions 28 to 506 of the family's 1533-position model. The record is from RNAcentral.